This is a transfer RNA of Camelus ferus (Wild Bactrian camel), 73 nucleotides long. It matches the Rfam family "tRNA". Rfam says of the family: Transfer RNA (tRNA) molecules are approximately 80 nucleotides in length. Their secondary structure includes four short double-helical elements and three loops (D, anti-codon, and T loops). Further hydrogen bonds mediate the characteristic L-shaped molecular structure. tRNAs have two regions of fundamental functional importance: the anti-codon, which is responsible for specific mRNA codon recognition, and the 3' end, to which the tRNAs corresponding amino acid is attached (by aminoacyl-tRNA synthetases). tRNAs cope with the degeneracy of the genetic code in two manners: having more than one tRNA (with a specific anti-codon) for a particular amino acid; and 'wobble' base-pairing, i.e. permitting non-standard base-pairing at the 3rd anti-codon position. NCBI's taxonomy places the organism in Eukaryota, Metazoa, Chordata, Mammalia, Artiodactyla, Camelidae. The record is from Rfam.
GAGGGUAUAGCUCAAGUGGUAGAAUGCGUGCUUAGCAUGCAUGAGGUCCUGGGUUCAAUCCCCAGUACCUCCA